This 90-nucleotide ribosomal RNA is filed under the name Salvia iodantha. RNAcentral describes it as "5.8S ribosomal RNA". It matches the Rfam family "5.8S ribosomal RNA", at positions 70 to 154 of the family's 154-position model. Rfam says of the family: 5.8S ribosomal RNA (5.8S rRNA) is a component of the large subunit of the eukaryotic ribosome. It is transcribed by RNA polymerase I as part of the 45S precursor that also contains 18S and 28S rRNA. The record is from RNAcentral. Lineage: Eukaryota; Viridiplantae; Streptophyta; Magnoliopsida; Lamiales; Lamiaceae.
AUAACCAGAAUCCCGUGAACCAUCGAGUCUUUGAACGCAAGUUGCGCCCGAAGCCAUUUGGCCGAGGGCACGUCUGCCUGGGCGUCACGC